This 290-nucleotide unclassified non-coding RNA is filed under the name Bombus terrestris (buff-tailed bumblebee). RNAcentral describes it as "misc RNA ENSBTSG00005022763.1". The record is from RNAcentral. Lineage: Eukaryota; Metazoa; Arthropoda; Insecta; Hymenoptera; Apidae.
UAAUUUAUUAAGGACAGCAAAAGAAAAUAGCGUUUCAAAUGAAAAUAAGCCAUUCUUUCUAAUAUUAUCAUUCGUCACUUGGCUCGAGUAAGAGGGAUAAAGAAAAUGAACAAAUGGGUUUCACGUGAUUUAAACGGCAUGCAAAAAUCAUGACGAAUGGAUACAGCCACUUGAAAGAAAUAAAUAGGAUGGAUUAGAAUAUGAAAUUUUGUCACAUCUCGCCAUUUCUCUUCGCCUGCCACCACGGAUUCUCAUUUUUUCUCAGAUUUUGAACGAUUCUGACUUCUAGG